GGGGUUGUAGCUCAGUGGCAGAGCACUUGCCUCACAUGUAUGAGGCAUUGGGUUCGAUCUCAGCACCA
Molecule: transfer RNA, 68 nt
Filed under: Marmota marmota marmota (Alpine marmot)
Lineage: Eukaryota; Metazoa; Chordata; Mammalia; Rodentia; Sciuridae
Also listed under: 1 other name
Rfam family: tRNA
About the family: Transfer RNA (tRNA) molecules are approximately 80 nucleotides in length.
Source: Rfam by way of RNAcentral